RNAcentral lists this ribosomal RNA (296 nucleotides) under uncultured bacterium. RNAcentral describes it as "partial 16S ribosomal RNA". It matches the Rfam family "Bacterial small subunit ribosomal RNA", at positions 335 to 648 of the family's 1533-position model. The record is from RNAcentral.
UAACCUACGGGACGCAGCAGUGGGGAAUAUUGCACAAUGGGGGAAACCCUGAUGCAGCGACGCCGCGUGAAGGAAGAAGUAUUUCGGUAUGUAAACUUCUAUCAGCAGGGAAGAAAAUGACGGUACCUGACUAAGAAGCCCCGGCUAACUACGUGCCAGCAGCCGCGGUAAUACGUAGGGGGCAAGCGUUAUCCGGAUUUACUGGGUGUAAAGGGAGCGUAGGCGGUGCAGCAAGGCAGAAGUGAAAGCCCGGGGCUCAACUCCGGGCCUGCUUUUGAAACUGUUGAAGUAUAUGG